This is a long non-coding RNA of Pelmatolapia mariae (spotted tilapia), 475 nucleotides long. RefSeq lists it as uncharacterized. The record is from RefSeq and is a predicted model, not a curated record. NCBI's taxonomy places the organism in Eukaryota, Metazoa, Chordata, Actinopteri, Cichliformes, Cichlidae. The transcript has 3 exons.
UUUGGAGCUUUUAAAAGAAUCCAUUUACCUCAAGGGCCAUUGGCCUACUUCAAUGCUUCAAAUAGCUGCCUGUGGAAAGUGCACAACCUCCUAAUCCCAACAACAGAUAUGAGUGUGUGUGUGUGUGUAUGGGUGCAGGUGUGUCUGAACACUUGUUUACAGGCGCCUUCAGGCCUGGUGGGUGUGGCCCUGCUAGGUGACUGGCCACACCCGAAGCCACACACCUGCUGCUGAUCAGGGCUCGUCGGGGGAGCUACUUAGGAGAGUCUUGGAGCUCCCACCGACGCGGGAUCAUUGAGUUAGACUCCCAAGAGGAGCGUGGAGAGGAAGGACAGCAUGCACAGGGUGUGCAGAGUCACGACAGCGGGGAGCACGAACACGGACGCCACUGGAAGACACACACGGGAGUCUUGGGGAGCACGAGGAUUAAUUGUGCAUCGAUAUUUACCACACUGUAAAUAAACGCACUGCUUAU